Molecule: ribosomal RNA, 485 nt
Filed under: uncultured bacterium
Lineage: Bacteria
Description: bacterial SSU rRNA
Rfam family: Bacterial small subunit ribosomal RNA
Source: RNAcentral
GACGAACGCUGGCGGCGUGCUUAAUACAUGCAAGUCAACUUGACUUUAGAUAGCAAUAUCGAAAAGUAGGGUGGCGCACGGGUGCGUAACGCGUAGGUAAUCUGCCCUGAGGUCUGACAUAACCCGUCGAAAGGCGGGCUAACAUCAGAUGAUAUAUAAUCACGACAUCGUGGAAAUAUCAAAUCUUCGGAGCCUUGGGAUGAGCCUGCGUCUGAUUAGGUAGUUGGCGGAGUAAUAGCCCACCAAGCCUACGAUCAGUAGCUGGUCUGAGAGGAUGAUCAGCCACACUGGAACUGAGACACGGUCCAGACUCCUACGGGAGGCAGCAGUAAGGAAUAUUGCUCAAUGGGGGAAACCCUGAAGCAGCAACGCCGCGUGAAGGAUGAAAUACUUUGUAUGUAAACUUCUGUAAGAUGGGAAAAAUAUUCUCCUCGGGAGAAUUGAUUGUACCAUCAGAGUAAGCCCCGGCUAACUACGUGCCAGCA